UACAUGUCUGACACUGCCACUUUUCCUCCAAUAUUUCUGAAGCUUGAAUCUUAAAUGUUCCCUAAACAUGCAGAUUGUUAGAGGCUCAAUCCCCAGGCAGAAGCUAGCUAUCAGGAGGUGGUGACUCGUUUAAAAGAUGGGGGCAAUUGUGAUGUCCUUAAAUUAUGAAGUGUGUGUCCUUGAAGUGGGUUGUGGGACCCCAGCUUUCUCUUCUCUCCUUGCUCCUUAGCCUGAGGUGAGUAGUUUUGCUCUACCAUACACUCUGGCCAUGAUGUCACAGGUCCAAAAGUAACAGGGCCACCUCAUCUUGACUAAAACUUCUAGAACUAUGAGCCAAAAGAAAUUCUACUCUUUAUAAAUUACUAUACCAGGUGUUUGCUACAGCUCACAAACAUAGUCCCCAGAUUAUAGGUUUGAGCUGCUAAGUACUUGGCUGCUAAGUAAUUUGGCUAGAUAUAGGAUUCAGGGUUAGAAACCAUUUUCUUCUAUUGCUGUCUUUUUGUCCUCCUUUAUGGGAGACUUCGCAUUUAACUUCUAAACCUUCUAUUGAUUUUAUUUUGCUGUAUUUUAAUUUCUAAGAGCUCUUCAUAUCACAUUUUUAUAGCAUGCUAUUUUUGUUUCAUUGUUGCAGUCUCUUACUGUUACAAGAAGUUUUUACAACUAUCACAGAAAAAAAACUGAAACAGUCACAAAAGUAGAGAAAAGGAUUAAUAUUGGAAUUUGGGGAAGUUGUGCUUUCCCCAUACUGCCUCUGUUCUUCCAAGUUUGUUUUAGUCUCUUUCAGACAUAGGCUGGUUAGAUUACUAAUUACCAGCAAUUCUUUGUUGCUGGCUCACAUUUGCAGAUGUGAGGCUGAAGAGCAAAUUCCAAGUUCUCAGGGUGCGUGGAGCCGGCUGACCGUGAGCUCACUAAGGACCACCUGGAUGGCCCACGUCAACGGUCUUUCUUAGUCUUAAUGCAUUCUUAAAUACAUCCAUUCCUCACUAGAGAUCUCUUAACUUCCUGCUCAGAGUGAAGCUUUCCUGUAGCCAGAGAAAUAAGAGGGCUGGGAAUGUCAGCACUCAGCACACUGACAUCCCUUCACCAUUGGGGACCUGGGCUUGAGUAAGGCCUGUGGCUUAGAGCAUGCUAGGCAAGCACUCUACCACUAAGCUACGCCCUCAACCCCAGGCUCAGAGUUUUGUUGCCAACUUCCUAAGAAAUGAUGCCGAUGGCUUCCCUAAUGUUCUUCUCUUCCUUGUGGGUUUUCACCUUUAAAAACUCUAUUUAGGCUGAGUGCUGGUGGCUCACACCUGUAAUCCUAGAUUCUCAGGAGGCUGAGAUCGGAGGAUUGAUGAUGGUUCAAAGCCAGCCUCGGCAGGAAAGUCUGUCUGUAAGACUCUUUUCUCCACUAAACUAC
Molecule: long non-coding RNA, 1399 nt
Organism: Perognathus longimembris pacificus (Pacific pocket mouse)
Lineage: Eukaryota; Metazoa; Chordata; Mammalia; Rodentia; Heteromyidae
Exons: 2
Source: RefSeq, a predicted model, not a curated record